GACAGCAGUAGCCACGGUAAUACGUAGGGUGCAAGCGUAAAUCGGAAUUACUGGGCGUAAAGCGUGCGCAGGCGGUUAUAUAAGUCAGAUGUGAAAUCCCCGGGCUCAACCUGGGAACUGCAUUUGAGACUGUAUGGCUAGAGUGUGUCAGAGGAUGGUAGAAUUCCACGUGUAGCAGUGAAAUGCGUAGAUAUGUGGAGGAAUACCGAUGGCGGAGGCAGCCCCCUGGGAUAACACUGACGCUCAUGCACGAAAGCGUGGGGAGCAAACAGGAUUAGAUACCCCGGUAGUCCCUGUCUCUUAUAC
RNAcentral lists this ribosomal RNA (306 nucleotides) under uncultured bacterium. RNAcentral's name for it is "partial 16S ribosomal RNA". It matches the Rfam family "Bacterial small subunit ribosomal RNA", at positions 505 to 807 of the family's 1533-position model. The record is from RNAcentral.